Long non-coding RNA from Octopus sinensis (East Asian common octopus), 498 nucleotides. RefSeq lists it as uncharacterized. Lineage: Eukaryota; Metazoa; Mollusca; Cephalopoda; Octopoda; Octopodidae. The transcript is spliced from 3 exons. The record is from RefSeq and is a predicted model, not a curated record.
CUCCAUCUUACUACUGUCUGUUUCUCUUUAGGGAAUGGCACAGGUGGAGAGUCAAUAUGGGGUGGAGAGUUUGAAGAUGAGUUCCAUCCCAGCCUGCGUCAUGAUCGACCCUACACUCUCAGUAUGGCAAACGCCGGGGCCAAUUCUAAUGGAUCACAGUUCUUCAUCACAGUCGUUCCUACGCCAUGGUUGGACAACAAACAUACAGUGUUUGGUCGAGUGACCAAGGGGAUGGAGGUGGUUCAGACCAUCAGCACGGUGAAGACCAACCCAAAGACAGACAAACCAUACGAUGACAUCAGGAUAGUGAGUGUUACCAUUAAGUAGUGCUGUGAUCUUCUCCCGGAGCAUAGGAGACACUCAUUUGUCAACCCUCAAUGGGGUACACGAAAGGGACGCUGGACAAAAGACACAGCAGGAUAAACAGUCAGAACAACUGGGGUACAUGCAAAAUGUGUGUGUAUAUAUAUAUAUAUAUAUAUAUAUAUAUAUAUAUAC